This 439-nucleotide ribosomal RNA is filed under the name uncultured bacterium. RNAcentral's name for it is "bacterial SSU rRNA". It matches the Rfam family "Bacterial small subunit ribosomal RNA", at positions 958 to 1397 of the family's 1533-position model. The record is from RNAcentral.
AACGCGAAGAACCUUACCUGGGCUCGAACGGCUGCUGAACGGUGGUAGAAAUACUGCCUUUCCCGCAAGGGACAGUAGUCGAGGUGCUGCAUGGCUGUCGUCAGCUCGUGUCGUGAGAUGUUGGGUUAAGUCCCGCAACGAGCGCAACCCUUGUCCUGUGUUGCUAACCGUAAGGUGCACUCUCAGGAGACCGCCAGCGAUAAGUUGGAGGAAGGUGGGGAUGACGUCAAGUCAUCAUGGCCUUUAUGUCCAGGGCUACACACGUGCUACAAUGGACGGUACAAAGCGCUGCCAACCCGCGAGGGGGAGCUAAUCGCAAAAAACCGUUCUCAGUUCGGAUUGCAGGCUGCAACUCGCCUGCAUGAAGCUGGAAUCGCUAGUAAUGGCAUAUCAGAACGAUGCCGUGAAUACGUUCCCGGGCCUUGUACACACCGCAUAC